UACGUAGGGGGCUAGCGUUGCUCGGAAUCACUGGGCGUAAAGCGCACGUAGGCGGCUUCUUAAGUCAGGGGUGAAAUCCUGGAGCUCAACUCCAGAACUGCCUUUGAUACUGAGGAGCUUGAGUCCGGGAGAGGUGAGUGAAACUGCGAGUGUAGAGGUGAAAUUCGUAGAUAUUCGCAAGAACACCAGUGGCGAAGGCGGCUCACUGGCCCGGUACUGACGCUGAGGUGCGAAAGCGUGGGGAGCAAACAGG
Molecule: ribosomal RNA, 253 nt
Filed under: uncultured bacterium
Lineage: Bacteria
Description: partial 16S ribosomal RNA
Rfam family: Bacterial small subunit ribosomal RNA
Source: RNAcentral